RNAcentral lists this ribosomal RNA (253 nucleotides) under uncultured bacterium. RNAcentral's name for it is "partial 16S ribosomal RNA". It matches the Rfam family "Bacterial small subunit ribosomal RNA", at positions 524 to 776 of the family's 1533-position model. The record is from RNAcentral.
UACAGAGGUCUCAAGCGUUGUUCGGAUUCAUUGGGCGUAAAGCGUACGCAGGCGGCUAUGUAAGACAGGUGUGAAAUCCCCGGGCCUAACCUGGGAACUGCAUUUGUGACUGCAUAGCUAGAGUCCGUCAGAGGGGGGUGGAAUUCCACGUGUAGCAGUGAAAUGCGUAGAGAUGUGGAGGAGCACCGAUGGCGAAGGCAGCCCCCUGGGAUGAGACUGACGCUCAUGUACGAAAGCGUGGGGAGCAAACAGG